UGCAAGUCUCCGCACCCCGUGUGAGAACACCCUUACACUCCUAGUUGGAAUAAGGAGCUGGUAUCAGGCACAAUAACUAGCCCAAGACACCUAGCUACGCCACACCCACAAGGGAACUCAGCAGUAAUUAACAUUGAAUAUAAGCGCCAGCUUGAUUCAGUUAGAGUAAAAAGGGCAGGCAAAUAUGGUGCCAGCCGCCGCGGAUACACCAUGUGGCCCAAGCUGACUUCUUCCGGCGUAAAGAGUGAUUAAAGUAACAUGCUACUGUAGUUAAACUAGAAUAAAGUUGUGAUAAGCUCAUAUCUAGGAAACCCAAAAACGAAAGUUACUACACCCACAACAACUUGAACUCACAACAGCUAAGAAACAAACUAGGAUUAGAUACCCUACUAUGCUUAGCCACAAACUUUUAAUUACACCCGCAACGCCAGGGGAACUACGAGCAAAGCUUAAAACCCAAAGGACUUGACGGUGCCCCAUAUCCCCCUAGAGGAGCCUGUCCUAUAAUCGAUAACCCCCGUUUAACCUCACCACUUUUAGCCAAAUCAGUCUGUAUACCUCCGUCGUCAACUUACCGCAUGAGCGAGUAAUAGUAAGUUUAAUGUCAUAUUUAACCGUCAAUACGUCAGGUCAAGGUGCAACUAAUAAAGUGGGAAGAGAUGGGCUACACUCUCUAGCAUAGAGAACACGAAAAACAUGUAUGAAAUUAUAAUUAGAAGGUGGAUUUAGUAGUAAAAAAAGAACAGAGCGCUUUUUUUAAUUAGGCCCUGGGGUGUGUACACACCGCCCGUCACCCUCUUCGCAGCAAUUUUAUAGUAUUUAACAACUCACUCGCACAGUAGAAGAGGCAAGUCGUAACAUGGUAAGUAUACCGGAAGGUGUGCUUGGAAA
This 891-nucleotide non-coding RNA is filed under the name Boana calcarata. RNAcentral's name for it is "partial 12S ribosomal RNA". It matches the Rfam family "Bacterial small subunit ribosomal RNA", at positions 383 to 1522 of the family's 1533-position model. The record is from RNAcentral. Lineage: Eukaryota; Metazoa; Chordata; Amphibia; Anura; Hylidae.